UACGGAGGGGGCUAGCGUUGUUCGGAAUUACUGGGCGUAAAGGGCGCGUAGGCGGCCGCAGCAGUCAGGCGUGAAAGCCCCGGGCUCAACCUGGGAACUGCGCUUGAGACGCUGUGGCUGGAGGUCGGGAGAGGAGAGCGGAAUUCCCAGUGUAGAGGUGAAAUUCGUAGAUAUUGGGAAGAACACCGGUGGCGAAGGCGGCUCUCUGGCCCGUACCUGACGCUGAGGCGCGAAAGCGUGGGGAGCAAACAGG
This 253-nucleotide ribosomal RNA is filed under the name uncultured bacterium. RNAcentral's name for it is "partial 16S ribosomal RNA". It matches the Rfam family "Bacterial small subunit ribosomal RNA", at positions 524 to 776 of the family's 1533-position model. The record is from RNAcentral.